CUGACCCGCUGCCCGCCGCUAUUUAUAACUCCGCAGCGACACCGCGCUGACGUCACAGGUCCUGUUGCGCAAUGUCGAGGACCCCACCCCCCCACACAAAACCUUCGCUUCACUCAGCGAGAGAGAGAAAUAUUAACGUGGAUUUACUGCCGGCAAGUACGUGUCCGACUCCAUUGCAAACGUAUUUCUUUUAAAUAAGGGGGAUUCUCAUCGGGCCAGAGGCACCGACAUUAAGAUCAGGCGACUGCCGCAGACGACUCACAUGAGGCCAGAUGAGACUCCUGGAGCCGUGUCUUUUCGCGUCGGGAAGCUGACUCACCGACGGACCGCUGGAAUCCCGAGGCUUCGCGUUAACGCCGCUGUCCCAUCACGUGACGGUCACCUGUCGAUGUGCGCACCGGGUAUUGUAGUUCACGCAUGCACCCCGGGACUCCAAAUCCCGUGAUGCACCUCACCAGUGUUCUGAUCCUUCCCCCGCAAUUUAAAGGGAAAUAUGUAUGAUACAAAUUGUUUCUUUCUCCACAGACAUUGAUAUGCCUGCUGAUCAUUUUCAGCACUGUGUUUUAUUUGUGUCUAUAUCAGAGAGACGUUCCCUCUCAGAUACUACUUGCGUUUGCAGACUUUAUUUUUAAACCAAACAUAGCUUCUCAACAUUAAUCCUCAAUAGGGUAGGGAAUAAAAAAAUUGACAAUGCCUAGACAAUACUAGGUUGGGUAAAGUUUUGAUUGAGAACUGACUUUUACAAUAUAACAGUGAUUAAUUUUGAUAGGAAGAAAGUCAAGAGUCAAUAUAAAGUAAAUGGCAAAAUUUUAAAGAUAUUGCAAUAGCAUAAAUUAUUGGUGUACAGUCACCUCAGCUUUAAUAAUAGACAUAAAAAGGAAAGAGGUUAUUAUUAAUCCCAUGUUAAACACUGACAUGGUCUCAACUGGAGUGUUACAUCAGUUCUGGGGGUUGCCCAUUGGGCUUGUUUUUCUUGGAGAACAGGAAGUCGAGAGGAGUCUUAAUGCAGGUGUUUAAAAUCAUGAGGGAUCUGGACAGAGUAGAGAGAGAGAGAGAGAGAGAGAGAAACUGUUUCCAUGAGUGGAAGGAUUGUGAUUUGAGGUAGGGGUGGUAUUUAAGGUAAUCGAUGAAAGAAGCAAUGGCGACUCAAGGAAAACGAUGCGCUCAUUAAAAUGUGGCACAGUUAGAUUCAACCAAAACUUUCAAAAGGUAAUUACAUAGUUAUACAAGGAUCAAAUGUGCAGGACUACAAGAAGAAGGAAGGGGAAUGCCACUGGGAAACUGCUCCUUCAGAUAUCCAGCACUGAAACGCACUCAUUUCCAUGAUUUAGAAAUAGAAAAUUCUGGAAAACCCCAGUAGGUCUCUGAGCAUCCAUGAAGAAAGAAGACUUCUAUAGGUCUCUUUCAUGACUUCAGGAUGUCCAAAGCACAUUACAGCCAAUGAUUUUUGAACUGAAAUCACAAUGUAGGAAACGCAGCAACUAAGAUGCCCACAGCAAGCUCCUGCAGAAAGGCAAUAAUCUAAACGACCGAUCGUGUGAAUUUCUGAUGUUAAUUGAGGGAUAAAUAGUGGCUGAGAAAUUAGGGAGAAUCCCCUGUUCUUUUCUGAAGUUCUGCCAUACGAUUUUUUUAUAUCCACCUGAGGGCCUCUGUUUAAUAUCUCACCCGAAAGCACUGCCUUGAUACUGCUACUACACAGGGGUGUCCGCCAAUGUAGUUUCUGAAGUGGGACCUGAUUCAACGAUAGUAUCACUCAGAUAUACAAGUGCUUCAAACAACCCCUGACACCAAAGCAUCUAUUUGUUAUCUGAAUCGACCAAAUAAAAAUUAAUUUAUUCUGAUAAUCAGGAAAGAUAGGGAGCACUGAUGUUGAACAGGUUGAAAUAACCGAUCACAGGAAAGGUUGUACAGAGUUCAGAACAGCACUGUCUCAUUUAGUUGUCUCAUUCUGCCAUGCUGACAUUAAUUAGUACUUUGAAUGGGAUAACUUGAUUAUAUAUUCUGGACCCCAUCUUUAUAGGGAAUAGUUUAAAAAUAGUUCAGAGGAUAAAAUAUUUUAUUCCAAAUGAAAGCAGCAAUGAAAAUAAACACCUUGUUAUUAAUAUAGGCUUUGAUUCUCCAACACUGAGGCUCCUGUGGUCCAGUUGACACCACUCCAAUCUCUCAGCUAGACACCUCCAGGUUCAAUUCCCAAUCCACGAUGUGAAGGUGACCACAAAAGUUCAAGACGCAUCAGGUCAUUAAAUCAGCCUGUGAAUCUUUCAAUGCUCCACACUAUCCUUCAAGGGGGAAAAAAUGUGAAGAUAUUAAAAAAACUACUCCCUCUCCAACUUAAUGUAACAUGUGAUUUAAAUAUAUGGACAGCCCAAA
Long non-coding RNA from Rhincodon typus (whale shark), 2370 nucleotides. RefSeq lists it as uncharacterized. The transcript is spliced from 2 exons. Lineage: Eukaryota; Metazoa; Chordata; Chondrichthyes; Orectolobiformes; Rhincodontidae. The record is from RefSeq and is a predicted model, not a curated record.